UCAAGAUCUUGAGCGUUUGACUGACUCAUUUCAAACGUUAUUAUAUUCAUUUUUUCAAAAUUUAGGCAUAACCUAAUCUCGUUACUCUAUUUACAUACAUUUGUGUACAAUAACUCGGUUUGAUUUAGUAUUUGAAAUAUUAUAAGUGUCAACAUAGGCAUUCAGUUCACUCACAUGUUCCACUGAAUCAAUUAUAUAAACGUUGACCUAAAAUUGACUUCAAAGUUCAGUUUUACAGUCAAUAGGUUUCGAACCUGAAAAAAAAUUGCUACAUUUCACCUGCUGAUAUCUGGCGCUAAUGUACGAGGCUAACCAAUCAAGUGCGAUAUCCUUAUUUUUCUGAUUUUUAUAAGAGGAUUAUAUAAUUUACACAAUCAAAUGCCUUGAAGUAAACAACCCUAAAUCUCUUAGUUCUUCAUUAAGUUCUUUGAAAUUCAUGUUGGCAAUCAGAUGAUCUAUUAUUGCUAAUGAAAAUGUUUAGAAUGUUGUCAUUCUCAAUUGGAUCAAAAACCUCACCAAUAUUCAAACAAGUUAUUGCACUAUAGUUUUAUAAUUUUUUUCAUCACCUUCUUGCGGGAAAUAUUUGAAUCAAACAAUUCUAUAUCACAUGUUUUGUGAAAAAUGUAUUCAUAUUUAUUUAUUAAUACUUCACCAAUUGAAAUCGUGACAAUGAUGACAUGGGAUGGCUACAUGAUUGCUAAGGAAUUCGGUUACAUUUCUGAGUCAAAAACUCAAUAAAAUGAUAUAUGACUAGUGGAGGACGUGGAACAUAUAGAAAAAAAACUGCCUUUCGAGUUGGAGAAGGAAGUACUUUUUUAAGACAGUAUCGAAUUUGCUGCCACAAAAGUCGUAACUAAUUCACCAAAACGAAUAUAAAACCUUUGAUGAAUGGAGGAAAGUCGGAUUAUUGGAUGUUGAAGUCAACUAUACUUGUACUACUGCACAAAUAUUGUUAAAUUCCGAAAUAUAGUAAACUGAACAUGUUGCUGUAAAUAUUAUUCGACAGCUAACAACCCAAGAAAUCCAAGAUACUUGAGUCCAGAUUUUCGAAAGAAGCUAUUCCAUGGUUAUGUGAGGUCCAAACUAGAUGAUGGGGCGAUUAUCUGGUAUCCCAUUUAUAAUUAUCACAUUCAGCAAAUUGAAGCUGUCCAAAGAAAGUUUGUAAAAUUCUUGUCUUCUCGAAUUACAGAUUUAGCCCCCUCGGAUCAUUUUCUGUUUCUAAACUUGAGAAAAUGGCUCAAUAAUUGAAGAUUUUCCAACAAUGAAGAAGUGAUGUCAGCAAGGAGAUUAUGUUGAAAAAUAAAUAAUU
This is a long non-coding RNA of Leptinotarsa decemlineata (Colorado potato beetle), 1309 nucleotides long. The record is from RefSeq and is a predicted model, not a curated record. NCBI's taxonomy places the organism in Eukaryota, Metazoa, Arthropoda, Insecta, Coleoptera, Chrysomelidae.